AUGGUGCUUCAAAUGUUCUUAUUAAAGAUCGGAGUAUCACGGACAUGCUUCGGGAUAGCAUUGACAUGGUCUUCAAGCAAAAGUCGGACUUCGGAUACACAAAGGAUCCAUCAAGAUAAACUUAUUAAACAAGGCAUUCAAUUUCCUCAUGGAAAAAUGAUUAACCUUGUUAAAAAAGAAACUAUAACACUAGGUCCUCUGGUCAGGUGUGCUAGGCAUGGCAUCACCUUACCGGGGCAUAUAGGGACCAAUGUUAUAACUCUUGAAAAUAUGUCCCAACCAUCAUAUUCGGCCGAGAUUCAAAUCUGA
RNAcentral lists this ribosomal RNA (309 nucleotides) under Triticum aestivum (bread wheat). Its description in RNAcentral is "partial small subunit ribosomal RNA". The record is from RNAcentral. Lineage: Eukaryota; Viridiplantae; Streptophyta; Magnoliopsida; Poales; Poaceae.